AGAGGCUAUCGUGCUGAUAAUGUGUUAUAAAAGAGAUGAUGUGUAAGCUUAUUAUUACUCAUGACCAGAGGUCUAUAUUUAUACAAGUAUUAGACCAUCUUAUUUAGACCGUCAUAAGAGAAAAGGAAAUCCUAUUCCUAAUAGGAAUAGGAAAUAGUACUUAUCCUAAAUACAUAUGGAAAAGGAUAAACAUCAAGUAUAGAUAAAUGUAAACUCUCAUUCGCCUAAGUUAUUAGCGAAUGGACCGGAUGGAUAGCUGAUGGGUCGGACGGUUUGGGUCUGAUAUGGGUCGAUCACCACUUGGUUUAUAACACAAACGUUAUUUUCUAAGUAAUAAAGGUUUUUCAACAAUAUUUAUUUUCUAAACUAAUAAAAAUGGACCGUAUCAUCCACUAUGUUCAUUACAAUAUAUGGAAAUUAGGCUUUAGUUAUCUUUUCAUGGACCAAGCCCAAAAAGAGUCAAACAGAUUACUCCGGGAAACUCAAGAAGUGAUGUAAAAACCUAACUAAUGAUUUGUUUAAAAAAAAAGAUUUUAGACAAAAAUCAGUAAGUUUCGUGUUUCAUCUUCUCUCCAAAGUGUUUCAGCUUCUCUCCACCGACAGAGCAAACAAAACAAAGGGAGCUAAAAAAAUUGUUUCCGUGUUUAUGAUCGAUUAUCAGAAUUUCUUAAGUCAACCACUUCAACUUCAUCAAGAACCUAACUAUAAUUUGUUCAGAGUCAAAGAUCUGUAUUAAAUUCGCCGGUAUAUACAUAGGGAGUUUUUGUCUUCAUUAUGCAAUGCAUCGAUGUUAUUGGAGGAGGAUACAAUUUCUCAUCGAUUGUACCUCAUAAAACAGGGAUCACUAAUGUUACAAAAAAGAUUUAAGGACUGUCUCCUGACCUCCAUGGAUUUCAUAUUCACUAUUUUGGUGGUAUUUUAAGUGGCUGCAACUCUACUUGUUCGUCUUUAAACUCUCUGUGUUUAUCACUGCUUACCUAUAUAUGAAGAAUUCACU
This is a long non-coding RNA of Brassica napus (rape), 997 nucleotides long. RefSeq lists it as uncharacterized. The record is from RefSeq and is a predicted model, not a curated record. The transcript has 3 exons. NCBI's taxonomy places the organism in Eukaryota, Viridiplantae, Streptophyta, Magnoliopsida, Brassicales, Brassicaceae.